AGAAAUCCGCUAACAGAUGGGCUUGCGUCUGAUUAGCUAGUUGGUGUGGUAACGGCAUACCAAGGCAACGAUCAGUAGCCGGACUGAGAGGUUGGACGGCCACAUUGGGACUGAGACACGGCCCAGACUCCUACGGGAGGCAGCAGUGGGGAAUAUUGCACAAUGGAGGGAACUCUGAUGCAGCGAUGCCGCGUGAGGGAAGAAGGUUUUAGGAUUGUAAACCUCUGUCUUCAGGGACGAAAAAAUGACGGUACCUGAGGAGGAAGCUCCGGCUAACUAC
Molecule: ribosomal RNA, 280 nt
Filed under: uncultured bacterium
Lineage: Bacteria
Description: partial 16S ribosomal RNA
Rfam family: Bacterial small subunit ribosomal RNA
Source: RNAcentral